GGGCGUGUAGCUCAGGUGGUUAGAGCGUCACACUGAUAAUGUGAAGGUCGGAGGUUCGAGUCCUCCCACGCCCACCA
Molecule: transfer RNA, 77 nt
Filed under: Candidatus Uhrbacteria bacterium RIFOXYA2_FULL_40_9
Lineage: Bacteria; Candidatus Uhriibacteriota
Also listed under: 2 other names
Description: tRNA-Ile
Rfam family: tRNA
About the family: Transfer RNA (tRNA) molecules are approximately 80 nucleotides in length.
Source: RNAcentral